This 355-nucleotide ribosomal RNA is filed under the name Jassidophaga pilosa. Its description in RNAcentral is "partial 12S ribosomal RNA". The record is from RNAcentral. Lineage: Eukaryota; Metazoa; Arthropoda; Insecta; Diptera; Pipunculidae.
UAAUGUAUUUAUUAUUUAUUUGAGUAGUAUUAGUUAUGAUCUUGAAACUUAAAAAAUUUGGCGGUAUUUUAUUCUAUUCAGAGGAACCUGUAUAUUAAUUGAUAUUCCACGUUGAAUCUUACUUAAAUUUGUUUUAGUUUAUAUAUCGUCGUUAUAAGAAUAUUUUUUAAAAAUUAAUAAUUUUCUUUAAUUUAUAUAAAAAUUUAUAUCAGAUAAAGGUGUAGCUUAUAUUUAAGUUUUAUUAUGGGUUACAAUAAAUUWAUUUAAAUGAAUAUAAAAUUGAAAUAUUUUAUUGAAAGUGGAUUUGAUAGUAAAAUAAUAUAGAUAAAUUAUUUGAUUUUAGCUAUAAAAUAUG